GAUGACUAAUCCAAACACAUUCAGUUCUUACUAGAAUAUCUAUAAUUCAUAAUAUAUAAAAAUAGUGAUAACAAGUUUGUACAAUUAGAACUAAUUUACAGAACGUCCACCUCCUAGCCAACUAGGAAUGGAAAAGCAAAUAAUUAAGAUGAAAGAUGAAUCUGCUCACAAAUACAUAUUGGAGUUUUCGAAAACAUGGUUGUAGAGAGGUAUGCUGGUCAGGUCGGUUUUGGAGUUUUCGAUGUGUUGGUACCACUGGAACGCCUGCAGGUGCUUCCUUAGGGGAGCCACGUCUAUGGUGUUGAUGAGAGGCAGAGAAUUGGCGUAGUAGUACACACUAAGCACACACGGCUGCUCGUGGAUUUGGC
This is a long non-coding RNA of Nilaparvata lugens (brown planthopper), 368 nucleotides long. RefSeq lists it as uncharacterized. The record is from RefSeq and is a predicted model, not a curated record. NCBI's taxonomy places the organism in Eukaryota, Metazoa, Arthropoda, Insecta, Hemiptera, Delphacidae. The transcript is spliced from 2 exons.